RNAcentral lists this long non-coding RNA (206 nucleotides) under Elaeis guineensis (African oil palm). Its description in RNAcentral is "long non-coding RNA (EGUI_LNC040118)". Lineage: Eukaryota; Viridiplantae; Streptophyta; Magnoliopsida; Arecales; Arecaceae. The record is from RNAcentral.
UCCACCUGUUGUAAAAAAUCUGACUUAAGCAUCUGAGGAUUUUCGUUGGAGCCAACUCCGAUGAGGGUUUUUUUGCAGAUCCAGCCACCGUCGAUCCACCGGAUGUAACCUCACUCCAGUGCUUUCGAUCCAAGAUAGAUUUCAGUCGUAACAAAUUCCUUCAUCCAUUUCCUAUGAGAUGGAGUGUUGACUCUAAGGAGGCCCCA